This is a long non-coding RNA of Salvelinus fontinalis (brook trout), 181 nucleotides long. RefSeq lists it as uncharacterized. The record is from RefSeq and is a predicted model, not a curated record. The transcript has 3 exons. Lineage: Eukaryota; Metazoa; Chordata; Actinopteri; Salmoniformes; Salmonidae.
GGGGGGGUUAACACUGACACAGAGGUGGAGGAGAGGGGGGGUUAACACUGACACAGAGGUGGGGGAGAGGGGGGGUUAACACUGACACAGAGGUGGAGGAGAGGGGGGGUUAACACUGACACAGAGGUGGGGGAGAGGGGGGGUUAACACUGACACAGAGGUGGGGGAGAGGGGGGGUUAA